GACUCUGUAGCUCAGCGGUUUAGAGCAUGCGAUUGCAGCUGGACGCUAUAAUCGCGGGGUCUCGUGUUCAAAUCACGACAGGGUCU
This is a non-coding RNA of Amylostereum chailletii, 86 nucleotides long. Lineage: Eukaryota; Fungi; Basidiomycota; Agaricomycetes; Russulales; Stereaceae. The record is from the annotation of a GenBank genome assembly.